This 552-nucleotide ribosomal RNA is filed under the name uncultured archaeon. RNAcentral describes it as "bacterial SSU rRNA". It matches the Rfam family "Archaeal small subunit ribosomal RNA", at positions 325 to 879 of the family's 1478-position model. The record is from RNAcentral.
ACGGGGUGCAGCAGGCGCGAAAACUCCGCAAUGCACGAAAGUGUGACGGGGCUACCCCGAGUGCUCUCCGCUGAGGAAAGCUUUUCCUUGGUAUAACUAGCCAGGGGAAUAAGGAGAGGGCAAGUCUGGUGUCAGCCGCCGCGGUAAUACCAGCUCUUCGAGUGGUGUGGAUGUUUAUUGGGCCUAAAGCAUCCGUAGCUGGCUAAGUUAGUCCCCUGUUAAAUCCACCGAAUUAAUCGUUGGAUUGCGGGGGAUACUGCUUGGCUAGGGGACGAGAGAGGCAGACGGUAUUUUCGGGGUAGGGGUGAAAUCCUAUAAUCCCGGGAAGACCACCAGUGGCGAAGGCUGUCUGCUAGAACGCGCCCGACGGUGAGGGAUGAAAGCUGGGGUAGCGAACCGGAUUAGAUACCCGGGUAGUCCCAGCCGUAAACGAUGCAGGCUAGGUGUUGGGGCGGCCACGUGCCGCUCUAGUGCCGCAGGGAAGCUGUUAAGCCUGCCGCCUGGGGAGUACGAUCGCAAGAUUGAAACUUAAAGGAAUUGGCGGGGGAGCAC